This 751-nucleotide ribosomal RNA is filed under the name Acanthamoeba castellanii. RNAcentral's name for it is "SSU rRNA". It matches the Rfam family "Eukaryotic small subunit ribosomal RNA", at positions 619 to 1143 of the family's 1831-position model. The record is from RNAcentral. Lineage: Eukaryota; Discosea; Longamoebia; Acanthamoebidae.
UUAAAAAGCUCGUAGUUGGAUCUAGGGACGCGCAUUUCAAGCGCCCGUGUCGUCGGGUCAAACCGGCGACUGCGUUGGCGUUGCGGGCUCGGUCCGUCGGUGCCCCACAAAGGGCUACUGGCGUGUCAACCGGCCCGCCCGUCCCCUCCUUCUGGAUUCCCGUUCCUGCUAUUGAGUUAGUGGGGACGUCACAGGGGGCUCAUCGUCGUCGGGUCAAACCGGCGGCGGUGGGUCCCUGGGGCCCAGAUCGUUUACCGUGAAAAAAUUAGAGUGUUCAAAGCAGGCAGAUCCAAUUUUCUGCCACCGAAUACAUUAGCAUGGGAUAAUGGAAUAGGACCCUGUCCUCCUAUUUUCAGUUGGUUUUGGCAGCGCGAGGACUAGGGUAAUGAUUAAUAGGGAUAGUUGGGGGCAUUAAUAUUUAAUUGUCAGAGGUGAAAUUCUUGGAUUUAUGAAAGAUUAACUUCUGCGAAAGCAUCUGCCAAGGAUGUUUUCAUUAAUCAAGAACGAAAGUUAGGGGAUCGAAGACGAUCAGAUACCGUCGUAGUCUUAACCAUAAACGAUGCCGACCAGCGAUUAGGAGACGUUGAAUACAAAACACCACCAUCGGCGCGGUCGUCCUUGGCGUCGGUCCUUCACGGGGCCGGCGCGAGGGCGGCUUAGCCCGGUGGCACCGGUGAAUGACUCCCCUAGCAGCUUGUGAGAAAUCAUAAGUCUUUGGGUUCCGGGGGGAGUAUGGUCGCAAGGCUGAAAC